ACGUCGUGAGACAGUUCGGUCCCUAUCUGCCGUGGGCGCUGGAGAAUUGAGGGGGGCUGCUCCUAGUACGAGAGGACCGGAGUGGACGCAUCACUGGUGUUCGGGUUGUCAUGCCAAUGGCACUGCCCGGUAGCUAAAUGCGGAAGAGAUAAGUGCUGAAAGCAUCUAAGCACGAAACUUGCCCCGAGAUGAGUUCUCCCUGAGACUUUAAGUCUCCUGAAGGAACGUUAAAGACGAUGACGUUGAUAGGCGGGUGUGUAAGCGCAGCGAUGCGUUGAGCUAACCGGUACUAAUGAACCGUGAGGCUUAACCUUACAACGCCGAAG
This 326-nucleotide ribosomal RNA is filed under the name Klebsiella pneumoniae. Its description in RNAcentral is "bacterial LSU rRNA". It matches the Rfam family "Bacterial large subunit ribosomal RNA", at positions 2616 to 2925 of the family's 2925-position model. Lineage: Bacteria; Pseudomonadati; Pseudomonadota; Gammaproteobacteria; Enterobacterales; Enterobacteriaceae. The record is from RNAcentral.